UACAGAGGUGGCAAGCGUUGUUCGGAAUUACUGGGCGUAAAGGGCGCGUAGGCGGUUCGAUAAGUCCCGUGUGAAAUCCCUCGGCUCAACUGAGGAACUGCACGGGAAACUGACGGGCUUGAGUUCGGGAGAGGGAAGCGGAAUUCCGGGUGUAGCGGUGAAAUGCGUAGAUAUCAGGAGGAACACCGGUGGCGAAGGCGGUUCUCUGGGCAUUACCUGACGCUGAGGAGCGAAAGUGUGGGGAGCGAACAGG
This 253-nucleotide ribosomal RNA is filed under the name uncultured bacterium. RNAcentral's name for it is "partial 16S ribosomal RNA". It matches the Rfam family "Bacterial small subunit ribosomal RNA", at positions 524 to 776 of the family's 1533-position model. The record is from RNAcentral.